GUGAUGAUCUACCUCAGGUUUUUGGCGGGUUUACUCGAUGUGUCCUUGUGUAACGUUAUCCGUGUUCCGCUGUUUAAUGAGGAUAGUGCAUUAGCGCCACUUACUGGUCAAAUUAAAAUAAUGUUAUCGAUCAAAUAUUUAGACAAAAUUCUAUUUAAAUUCGACUUACAUUUCACUCUAUUCUCUAGUCUUGUAUUUUGAAGCCGAUCUAAAACAAAGUGUCGAAACAAGAGGUCGAAUCUCAGGUUGGCUCUGUCUACCCGACAAAUCUCUCGACCAAUCAGAGAAAUGUGCUCUUGUUGCUGUCAUUCAGCGCGGUAGCCAAUGGACCAGCCUGACGGCGUAGCUCCGCCCACGGGGAUAAAUAGACUCGACUGGUUAAUUAUUAUACAAAUAUUUUAUUUAUUAAAGUGUUGUUGUUUUUUGCUUUUAAUGUCCGUACAAACAAUAGUAUAAAAACAAAAAUCCUGAAAAAAAUAAUACUCAAUUCAUGAUACUUGAUAAGCUUGUAAGCCAAUUAGAAGUUCUCGGCUGUUCUUUCGACGGUUUGUUGGUGUUAAAUCCACCCUGAAAAUCUGCUAAAAGUCUAAUUUAAAUGUCAGCACGUCUUCUGUACAUCUAAAACGAAAAUAAGAGAUGGAUACAAAUAUAUGUUUUUAAUUAACAGCGUUACUUGUGCAACCACAAACUUAUCCAGCCAAUAAUGCACGAGACUAAACCUGAGGGCGAAAAACUACAACUUUAUAUCGUAAACGAAGGCUGCACUAUUAUCGACACCUCAUGUAUAUUUUAUAUUUAAACCCGCAAAUAACGUUUUUUUUCUUGUGCAAAGCGCCGUGUUGCACUUCUAUAUUUGUGCAGUUUCACAGUCUGAACACCAGAUGGCAAAAUACUUCAAUGUUGUUGUAACUGAAUGAAUACAGGGGCCCGUUCUUCGUACGUCGCUAACUCGGUUAGCUGGAUUUGAUUGUUGACGAUUUGGCAUGAUCUUGGAUUGUUUGGUUCUUCGAAGCUCAUCCUGGACUUGCUGUCAUAGCAACAGGUCCGUAAGCUUGAACCUGCUCGGGAGCAGGCUUACUUCAUGUAAACAGGAUUAGAUCACGGCUUUAUAAGCGUAGGUGAUAUGGGAAGUCUUUCGCAGACAUGUCUUGUCCGUUUUUACGUCAGGAAUGCGUUGCUGAAGGUACCAGAAUAAUUCAAAGAGCUUUUCGAAUUAAUCGCGUUUUGCGAGAUCGACAGGAUCCUUUAGCGCAGCGCGAUAAUCUACUGAUUGAGAGAUAUCGUUUUUCUCGGGAGGGUGUAAUCUACAUUAUCAACUUGUUGGAGCCACACGUUAAAUGUUGGACUCGUCGCAGUCGGGGUUUAACAACUGCACAGUUUGAAUAGCUUUGCGAUUCUUUGCGAGUGGCACUUUCCUUUACACUAUUGGAGAUGCAGAAUACCUGGGUAAAAAUGCUGUAUGUCGUGCCACUCGCAAAGUUUAUCUGUCACUCAAACAGUUUUUAGGGGGCUUUGUGGUAUUUCCAUGCCACUUAAGACCACAGGCUGUGAAGCAGAUUUUUUUUUGCCAUUGCAGGUACAUUAUAAUUGUUAAUGAAGAUCAUGGAAUCAUGAUCAUGCCAAAAAGUAGCCUAGGACUUACAGUAUUUGUUCCUCAGGCUUCCCUAAUGUUAUUUGUGCCAUAGACUGCACACAGGUCCCCAUCAAGGCCCCACCUGGCCCAAAUGAAGGGGAUUUUUUGAACAGAAAGGGAUUUCACAGUGUAAAUGUGCAAGUAAAUUACUAUAACAAUUAUUCAUAUUCCAGAUAAGCAAUAAAUAAAUAAAAGUAACGUAAUCAAAAAGUAUGCAGACUGAUUUCAAAUAUUUUAGAUGGUGUGCGACUCCAUGUUCCACAUCACAAAUGUGGAAGCCACAUGGCCUGGUUCUGUGGGUGACUCCAGGAUUUUCAGAGAGUCACAUUUAUGCACAUUAUUUGAACGUGGUGCUGACGAUGGGAUCCUGUUCGGCGACAGGGGCUAUGCCUUCAGGCAGGCAGUACUUCAUGACGGCAUUCCCCAACCCAAACCCUGGACCACAAACCCGUUACAAUGCAGCUCUAGCCAGGACAAGGCCACGCAUUGAAAUGACCUUUGGCCAACUAAAGGAAGAUUUCAGUGUCUUAAGGGUCUGAGGGUUGCACCUGGAGAGGACCCCUGUGGUGGAGGUGCAGCCUGAUGAUGACCUCCAGCCAGUGCACUUGGACCAAUAGUGGCAGAGCUGCACAGGACAGUAUUGUGGAACACGAUUUUAUGAAUUCUUUUUUUUACACAUAAACUUUCAUUAAAUGAAUAAUAGAAGACAACA
Molecule: long non-coding RNA, 2345 nt
Organism: Triplophysa dalaica
Lineage: Eukaryota; Metazoa; Chordata; Actinopteri; Cypriniformes; Nemacheilidae
Exons: 2
Source: RefSeq, a predicted model, not a curated record